RNAcentral lists this ribosomal RNA (552 nucleotides) under uncultured organism. RNAcentral describes it as "SSU rRNA". It matches the Rfam family "Bacterial small subunit ribosomal RNA", at positions 691 to 1242 of the family's 1533-position model. The record is from RNAcentral.
UAGAUAUUUGUAGGAAUGCCGAUGGGGAAGCCAGUCCUCUGGACAGAUACUGACGCUAAAGCGCGAAAGCGUGGGUAGCAAACAGGAUUAGAUACCCUGGUAGUCCAUUCCGUAAACGAUGAUUACUAGGUGUUGGGGGUCGAACCUCAGCGUCCCAAGAUAUCGCGAUAAGUAAUCCGCUUGGGGAGUACGUACGCAAGUAUGAAACUCAAAGGAAUUGACGGGGACCCGCACAAGCGGUGGAGCAUGUGGUUUAAUUCGACGCAACGCGAGGAACCUUACCAGCGUUUGACAUCAUAAGAAAUUAGCAGAGAUGAUUUUGUGCCCCUUGGGGGGAAGUUAGUGACAGGUGGUGCAUGGCUGUGGUCAGCUCGUGUCGUGAGAUGUUGGGUUAAGUACCGCAACGAGCGCAACCCCUUUUGUAUGUUGCCAUCAUUAAGUUGGGCACUCAUGUGAUACUGCGUGCGAUGAGCAGGAGGAAGGUGGGGAUGAGGUCAAGUCAUCAUGUCCCUUUUACGUUGGGGUACACACGUGUUUCAAUGGGUAGUACAG